GACGAACGCUGGCGGCGUGCUUAACACAUGCAAGUCGAACGAUGAAGCCCUUCGGGGUGGAUUAGUGGCGAACGGGUGAGUAACACGUGGGCAAUCUGCCCUGUACUUUGGGAUAAGCCUGGGAAACUGGGUCUAAUACCGAAUAUGACAUGUCGCCGCAUGGUGGUGUGUGGAAAGUUUUUAUGGUACAGGAUGAGCCCGCGGCCUAUCAGCUUGUUGGUGGGGUAAUGGCCUACCAAGGCGACGACGGGUAGCCGGCCUGAGAGGGCGACCGGCCACACUGGGGACUGAGACACGGCCCAGACUCCUACGGGAGGCAGCAGUGGGGAAUCUUGCACAAUGGGGCGAAAGCCUGAUGCAGCGACGCCGCGUGAGGGAUGACGGCCUCGGUUGUAACGUCUUACGU
Molecule: ribosomal RNA, 406 nt
Filed under: uncultured bacterium
Lineage: Bacteria
Description: bacterial SSU rRNA
Rfam family: Bacterial small subunit ribosomal RNA
Source: RNAcentral